Salarias fasciatus (jewelled blenny) is the source of this 1744-nucleotide long non-coding RNA. The record is from Ensembl. NCBI's taxonomy places the organism in Eukaryota, Metazoa, Chordata, Actinopteri, Blenniiformes, Blenniidae.
AAGACAGAACCUCCUCCUGGUUCCUCCUCUGAUCCUCCUCCUGGUUCCUCCUCUGAUCCUCCUCCUGGUUCCUCCUCUGAUCCUCCUCCUGGUUCCUCCUCCCGUCUCCUCCCUGUGUGGAUCUCCCUCUCCUCUCUCGUUGUGGUUCUCCUGCUGGUUCUCCUGCUGGUCUGGUUCUGCAGCAGGAACCCUGAAGGUGAGCAGCAGACUCCUGAAGGUUUGUCUCUUUAGACGGACGACUGUUGACGUUCUGGACGUUCUGUGUUCAGGCGCGGCAGCAGAACCUGAAGUCACCUACAGUGACGUCAACAUCCUGCAGCGUCAGCAGCAGCCGGUCAGACGGAGCAGAGAUGUGGAUCCAGUGUAUUCAGAUGUCAGAGUUCCAGAUGUUUCUUACGGACAAAUAGUCAUCAAAGAGAAACGAAGCCGAGGGAAGAAGUCAGAGAUUCCUCCAGAGCCUGACGUGGUCUACUCCUCCCUGAGGUGACCCCCCAGUCCAGACCCAUCCGGAUCCAUCCAGAUCCAGACCUCCACACUGCUGAGUUCUGCUGAGUUCUACUGAGUUCUACUGAGUUCUACUGAGUUCUGCUGAGUUCUGCUGAGUUCUACUGAGUUCUACUGAGUUCUACUGAGUUCUGCUGAGUUCUGCUGAGUUCUACUGAGUUCUGCAGCUUGCAGGCACAAAGUCAAAAUUUCCACAGGAAUUUUCUCAUUUUCACUUUUUCUUUAGAUUUUUAUUUUGUUCCUAUUGAGUUUUUGUUUAAUUCAAAAUGUGUGUUUUGGUUUUAUUUCUGGAUUUCUCUUCAGUUUGGGCUGCUUCUAUUGAGUUUUACUCACACAGGAGUCUGAAAAGGUUGACUGGAAUUGAACUGAAAGUCCUUUAUUUGUCCCACAGGGGAAACUGCAGUGUUUCAGGAGCAAGGAGGGAAGAAAUAGAAAUAGAACAGAAAAGUAAAAUGUGAGAAUUUAGAAGGCCUAAACAUACAUAGAUAAAUUAAAUAUAAUUUAAUUAUAAAUUUAGGAUAGAUAUAAUUAAAUAACAGAUAUAAACUAGCAUAAAUAAAUAAAAUAUAAUUCACAUAUAAAUCUAAGACAGAUAUAAUUAGAUAAAUAACAGAUAUGCACUAAUAGGUGUAAAUUAAAUAUACAUUUAAGACAGAACGCAUAUGUACAAUAUCAUAGAAAAAUGUGAGAAAUAAAAAGAUCUGUACACAGGAGUUUCCCAGAGCUGAAUGGAUGAUGGACGACUGCACAUCUUAAGUUAAGGUGAAGAUUUUCUUUUGAGUUUUAAGUUAGAACAGUUUGUCCAUCCAUCCAUCUUCUACCGGUUAUCCGGGCCGGGUCGCGGGGGCAGCAGUCUCAGCAGGGAUGCCCAGACUUCCCUGUCCACAGACUCUUCCUCCAGCUCCUCUGGGAGCAGUUGAACAGUUUGUUUUAGUUUUAUUGAGUUUUGUCCAUCUUUUAUUGAGUUGAAUCCUGUUUUUAUUGAGUUUUAUUCAGUUUGACAUGUUAUUAUGGAGCUUUAUCAGGUUUUAUUCAGUUUUCUUCUCUGUCGUCUCUCUGAUGGUUAAACAGUCGUUCCUCUUUUUAAAUAAACAAAUUCAUCUUCCUUCUUCUGUUCUCUGGAGGUUUUUCACACUUUGCUGGUUCUCGCUGCUGUGCUGUUGUUCUGUAUUUAGUUGUACUGGUUUUGGUUUUAACUGAAGCUUCUGUUGGUGAAGAAUAAACGUCGGUUUCAGAGUCU